GACCAGACUCCUACGGGAGGCAGCAGUGGGGGAUAUUGCACAAUGGGGGGAACCCUGAUGCAGCGACGCCGCGUGGGUGAAGGAGCGUUUCGGCGCGUAAAGCCCUAUCGGCAGGGAAGAAGGAGGACGGUACCUGACUAAGAAGCCCCGGCUAACUACGUGCCAGCAGCCGCGGGAAUACGUAGGGGGCAAGCGUUAUCCGGAUUUACUGGGUGUAAAGGGAGCGCAGACGGCAGUGCAAGUCUGGAGUGAAAGCCCGGGGCCCAACCCCGGAACUGCUCUGGAAACUGUGCGGCUAGAGUACUGGAGGGGCAGGCGGAAUUCCUAGUGUAGCGGUGAAAUGCGUAGAUAUUAGGAGGAACACCAGUGGCGAAGGCGGCCUGCUGGACAGUAACUGACGUUGAGGCUCGAAAGCGUGGGGAGCAAACAGGAUUAGAUACCCUUGUA
RNAcentral lists this ribosomal RNA (447 nucleotides) under uncultured bacterium. RNAcentral's name for it is "partial 16S ribosomal RNA". It matches the Rfam family "Bacterial small subunit ribosomal RNA", at positions 329 to 792 of the family's 1533-position model. The record is from RNAcentral.